GUCUGAUUCAUCUGAAAAUUUCAGAGCAGAUAGAUCUUGACCUGAUAAACAAUUUAACCCUUGUCAGAUUUGCUCUAAAUGCUUUGGUUUUUGUGUUAUGUUCUAUUUUGGCGGCCAUCAUGGUUGGUUGGCCGGGUUACCGGACACAUUUUUUAAAGUAGAUACCCCAAUAAUGAUUGUUGCCAAGUUUGGUUUAGUUUGGCCAAGUAGUUUCAGAGAAGAAGAUUUUUGUAAAAGUUAACGACGACGGACGAAGAUUUUCAAAAAGGGGAAAUCACUCAUUUUUUUUUUAAAUUACAUCCAAAUUAGUUUGAGCAUGAAAUUUUCAAUUGCUGGAAUAUGUUAUUUGAUAUAUUUACCCUCAAUACAUCUAAAAAUAGUUUUUUUCAUAAGAAAGGAAUAUUUAUCAUGAAAAUAUUCAUAUGAAAAAUAUUUAUUUACAAAUAGAACGUAAAAAAGGGGAAUUUCAGGGUAAAUUACAAUGAUUAGUAUUCCUCGUUUGGCAACUUUCUGCUAC
RNAcentral lists this long non-coding RNA (517 nucleotides) under Mytilus galloprovincialis (Mediterranean mussel). The record is from RNAcentral. Lineage: Eukaryota; Metazoa; Mollusca; Bivalvia; Mytilida; Mytilidae.